RNAcentral lists this ribosomal RNA (425 nucleotides) under uncultured prokaryote. RNAcentral describes it as "bacterial SSU rRNA". It matches the Rfam family "Bacterial small subunit ribosomal RNA", at positions 355 to 796 of the family's 1533-position model. The record is from RNAcentral.
UCGAGAAUCUUCCGCAAUGGACGAAAGUCUGACGGAGCGACGCCGCGUGCGGGAUGAAGGCCCUCGGGUUGUAAACCGCUGUCAGAGGGGAGGAAAUUUUGACCGAUCCUCAGAGGAAGUCCGGGCUAAGUUCGUGCCAGCAGCCGCGGUAACACGAACCGGACGAACGUUAUUCGGAAUUACUGGGCUUAAAGAGUGCGUAGGCGGCUAUGUAGGUGGGGUGUGAAAGCCCACGGCUCAACCGUGGAAUUGCGCUCCAAACCACAUAGCUUGAGGGAGACAGGGGUAAGCGGAACUGAUGGUGGAGCGGUGAAAUGCGUUGAUAUCAUCAGGAACACCAGUGGCGAAGGCGGCUUACUGGGUCUCUUCUGACGCUGAGGCACGAAAGCUAGGGUAGCGAACAGGAUUAGAUACCCCCGUAGUCC